Molecule: ribosomal RNA, 513 nt
Filed under: uncultured bacterium
Lineage: Bacteria
Description: bacterial SSU rRNA
Rfam family: Bacterial small subunit ribosomal RNA
Source: RNAcentral
GAUUAUGGCUCAGAAUGAACGCUGGCGGCGUGUCUUAAGCAUGCAAGUCGUGCGGCAAGGGUAGCAAUACCCCUAGAGCGGCGGACUGGUGAGUAACGCGUGGGUGAUCUGCCUUUGGGAUGGGGAUAGCCAUUAGAAAUAGUGGGUAAUACCGAAUACGAUCGCGAGACUAUGGUUUUGCGAUGAAAGGCGCUUCGGCGCCACCCGAAGAUGAGCCCGCGUCCCAUUAGCUAGUUGGUGAGGUAAAGGCCCACCAAGGCGAUGAUGGGUAGGCGGCCUGAGAGGGUGUACGCCCACACUGGGACUGAGAUACGGCCCAGACUCCUACGGGAGGCAGCAGCUAAGAAUAUUCCGCAAUGGACGAAAGUCUGACGGAGCGACGCCCGCGUGGAUGACGAAGGCCGAAAGGUUGUAAAAUCCUUUUGUUGGGGAAGAAUAACCAUGGGAGGGAAUGCCCGUGGGAUGACCAUGAACCGACGAAUAAGUCCCGGCUAACUACGUGCCAGCCGCCGC